Molecule: ribosomal RNA, 254 nt
Filed under: uncultured bacterium
Lineage: Bacteria
Description: partial 16S ribosomal RNA
Rfam family: Bacterial small subunit ribosomal RNA
Source: RNAcentral
UACGGAGGGGGCUAGCGUUGUUCGGAAUUACUGGGCGUAAAGGGCGCGUAGGCGGUCUUGUAAGUCUUUUGUGAAAUCCCUCGGCUUAACUGAGGAACUGCACGGGAUACUGCGAGACUUGAGUUCGGGAGAGGGAAGCGGAAUUCCGGGUGUAGCGGUGAAAUGCGUAGAUAUCCGGAGGAACACCGGUGGCGAAGGCGGCUUCCUGGACCGAUUACUGACGCUGAGGCGCGAAAGCUAGGGGAGCAAACGGG